UACGUAGGGCGCAAGCGUUGUCCGGAAUUAUUGGGCGUAAAGAGCUCGUAGGCGGCCUGUUGCGUCCGCUGUGAAAUCCCGGGGCUUAACCCCGGGCGUGCAGUGGAUACGGGCAGGCUGGAGGCAGGCAGGGGAGAACGGAAUUCCCGGUGUAGCGGUGAAAUGCGCAGAUAUCGGGAGGAACACCGGUGGCGAAGGCGGUUCUCUGGGCCUGUACUGACGCUGAGGAGCUAAAGCGUGGGGAGCGAACAGG
RNAcentral lists this ribosomal RNA (253 nucleotides) under uncultured bacterium. RNAcentral describes it as "partial 16S ribosomal RNA". It matches the Rfam family "Bacterial small subunit ribosomal RNA", at positions 524 to 776 of the family's 1533-position model. The record is from RNAcentral.